CGCUGGCGGCAGGCCUAACACAUGCAAGUCGAGCGGUAGAGAAGGAGCUUGCUUCUUCUUGAGAGCGGCGGACGGGUGAGUAANGCCUAGGAAUCUGCCUGGUAGUGGGGGACAACGUUUCGAAAGGAACGCUAAUACCGCAUACGUCCUACGGGAGAAAGUGGGGGAUCUUCGGACCUCACGCUAUCAGAUGAGCCUAGGUCGGAUUAGCUUGUAGGUGAGGUAAUGGCUCACCUAGGCAACGAUCCGUAACUGGUCUGAGAGGAUGAUCAGUCACACUGGAACUGAGACACGGUCCAGACUCCUACGGGAGGCAGCAGUGGGGAAUAUUGGACAAUGGGCGAAAGCCUGAUCCAGCCAUGCCGCGUGUGUGAAGAAGGUCUUCGGAUUGUAAAGCACUUUAAGUUGGGAGGAAGGGUUGUAGCUUAAUACGCUGCAACUUUGACGUUACCAACAGAAUAAGCACCGGCUAACUCUGUGCCAGCAGCCGCGGUAAUACAGAGGGUGCAAGCGUUAAUCGGAAUUACUGGGCGUAAAGCGCGCGUAGGCGGCUUGAUAAGAUGGGUGUGAAAUCCCCGGGCUUAACCUGGGAACUGCAUCCAUAACUGUCUGGCUAGAGUACAGUAGAGGGUGGUGGAAUUUCCUGUGUAGCGGUGAAAUGCGUAGAUAUAGGAAGGAACACCAGUGGCGAAGGCGACCACCUGGACUGAUACUGACGCUGAGGUGCGAAAGCGUGGGGAGCAAACAGGAUUAGAUACCCUGGUAGUCCACGCCGUAAACGAUGUCAACUAGCCGUUGGAAUCCUUGAGAUUUUAGUGGCGCAGCUAACGCACUAAGU
This 838-nucleotide ribosomal RNA is filed under the name gamma proteobacterium HA-mar-Is22-14. RNAcentral describes it as "bacterial SSU rRNA". It matches the Rfam family "Bacterial small subunit ribosomal RNA", at positions 34 to 865 of the family's 1533-position model. Lineage: Bacteria; Pseudomonadati; Pseudomonadota; Gammaproteobacteria. The record is from RNAcentral.